ACCUGGCUGGCUCAGUCAGUAGAGCACAUGACUCCUGAUCUUGGGGUGGUGAGAUCAAGUCCCACACUGGGCA
This 73-nucleotide transfer RNA is filed under the name Felis catus (domestic cat). It matches the Rfam family "tRNA". Rfam says of the family: Transfer RNA (tRNA) molecules are approximately 80 nucleotides in length. Their secondary structure includes four short double-helical elements and three loops (D, anti-codon, and T loops). Lineage: Eukaryota; Metazoa; Chordata; Mammalia; Carnivora; Felidae. RNAcentral also lists the same sequence under 1 other name. The record is from Rfam by way of RNAcentral.